GCGACAUAGCCAAGCGGUAAGGCGUAGGUCUGCAACACCUUGAUCGCCGGUUCGAUUCCGGCUGUCGC
This 68-nucleotide transfer RNA is filed under the name bovine gut metagenome. It matches the Rfam family "tRNA". From Rfam's summary of the family: Transfer RNA (tRNA) molecules are approximately 80 nucleotides in length. Their secondary structure includes four short double-helical elements and three loops (D, anti-codon, and T loops). The record is from RNAcentral.